GGCUGUAGCUCAGUUGGUAGAGCAUGAGACUCCUAUUAAUCUCAAGGUUGUGGUUUCAAGCCCCACGUUGGGCCA
Molecule: non-coding RNA, 75 nt
Organism: Podarcis lilfordi (Lilford's wall lizard)
Lineage: Eukaryota; Metazoa; Chordata; Lepidosauria; Squamata; Lacertidae
Source: the annotation of a GenBank genome assembly